CAAGACACGAGGAGCUCCGAGAUGGGCGUGGUGCUUAGCCAUUCUGACUUCAGUAGGACCAGAGAUGAUUGGGUGGGAUCUGUCUCCUCUGCUUCGAUGGAAAGUCUGAUGGGGCAGCAUAGAGCAGCCAGCCAGUGGCUGUAAGACAGCCUGGAAAGGUGUCCUCAAUGAACUCACACUUUAGAGAACCAAGCUGCAGCCCAGUGACUCUUGAUCUACAUCUGCCUUGACUCACAAUGCCCCAGCCUUCAUCCAACAGCUGGUAGAAGCAGACACCCACAGCUAAACACUGAACUGAAC
Molecule: non-coding RNA, 300 nt
Organism: Cricetulus griseus (Chinese hamster)
Lineage: Eukaryota; Metazoa; Chordata; Mammalia; Rodentia; Cricetidae
Source: RefSeq, a predicted model, not a curated record